Molecule: non-coding RNA, 86 nt
Organism: Podospora conica
Lineage: Eukaryota; Fungi; Ascomycota; Sordariomycetes; Sordariales; Podosporaceae
Source: the annotation of a GenBank genome assembly
UCUUCCGUAGUAUAGUGGUCAGUAUGUGAGCUUGUCACCUUAACCCGACAUCGCUCGAGACCCGGGUUCAAUUCCCGGCGGGAGAG